This is a long non-coding RNA of Leguminivora glycinivorella, 1544 nucleotides long. RefSeq lists it as uncharacterized. The transcript has 2 exons. The record is from RefSeq and is a predicted model, not a curated record. NCBI's taxonomy places the organism in Eukaryota, Metazoa, Arthropoda, Insecta, Lepidoptera, Tortricidae.
GACGCUCACUUAGUUGUCAUGCGUUGUGCGGUUGUGGUGGUGUCCGACUCCGAAUCCGACAGCGAUUGAAUACGAGAAUAUUUUGUAACUUUGAAUAAACCGUUUUUUUUUCAACUUCAUCCCAGUUUCCUUUUGUGCGAUUUAUUUCAGUCCUUCAACUUCAAUGUUACGGUUUCGGGUAAAUUCUUUGUUAAUUAUCAUCUAAUAAAUUCAGGGUCGCAACGUAUUCAUUGGUUUGUAACAGAGAAUUCAAGAUGCCUCAAUACGAUUUUUAAAUGAUAUCUGAGUAUCGAAAAGUUGUCUGAUAGAGAAGGUGCUACACUUAAUUUGUCUGAUAUAAAUUUUUUGCACAUGUGGACAACUUAUUUUAUCAUGUCCAACAAUUUUCAGACAUAUUGCUAUGAUACCGAUCGGUAAAAUUUGUUAACAUUUUCAAAACGAUCUCAAAAUUUAAUGCGUUCACAUUUCCGUCUGAAAAUUGUUUUGUUCGCAUCAAAUAACCAAAAUUUACUAAUAAAAAAGAUUUUCAGACGUAUUGCUAUGAGACAUUUUUUUUUGUCUCAUUUUUAAUUUUUUUAAGUGAUUUUACGGGUUUGCGCUACACCACUAACGUCUGAAAAAUAUGUUUCCGGUAUCUCAGAACUAUCAUUCAACUACAGUCUGCAAAUCAGACAUAUUGCUAUGAUGCAGUUCGGUAAAAUUCUUUGACAAUUUUGAAAAUUCGGUCAGAUCAAACGCUACGCGGAAAAUGUCUGAUAUUGGUAUUUUCGAGUUCAGGAUAAUCGUAUCUAUCGAUUUGAUGCGGUUUUGGCUGUAUUGCUAUGAGACAAAAAUUUUGGUCGUGGGCUCUUGUACUAAUUGUGCUACAUGGUGUUUAACUGUUUAUAUCAAGUGAUGGAGUAAAACGGCUGAACGCUCGCUUCGCUAAUGCUAUGGCGUAGACAUAAAAGUUUUACAUUGAUAAUAGUUAUCGAACUCGUAAAACAGUCACUGGGGUAGGCAAACGUGUUCAUUUAUCAAUUUUGUUCUCCAAUUAACCCUUAGUGUGACUGGUGUGCGCCAUAAUGAUAUUUGCUUUACCUAAUUUUUUUUCUACGUUACGUAACAAAACACAAAUUAAUCUUGAAAGAUUAAUUAAUCCGCGGUGUAAAAUUUAAUGGCGCGCUGAACUAUUCAACUUGAUUUUCCAAUUAGUCAUAACUGAGAAAAAUGUCAAGCAUAAUAGUCUACUUGACGUUUGCUUGUCUUUUUUCGGCAUGUAACGUAUUUGCCUUGAGUAACUACACAAUGAGAUACCCCAUACUUUUCAGACAUUACGUUGUGGGUAAAUUAUCCGAACGAGGAAGAGAAGUUUUUAUGGAUUUUUCAAACACCGUAUCAUGUAAACAAAAGGCUGGCUAUUGUAUCGAGAGAGAACAUUGUUUGGCUGAGAAAAAAAUGUACUUCACCGGUGGUUGCAACUAUCAUGAUUUAGUAUGUUGCUAUGAGGACGAAAUAUGGAAAUGAAAAUGUUUUCAUUGCUCUAAGACAAUUUGUUGUAACUA